GAUGAACGCUGGCGGCGUGCCUAAUACAUGCAAGUCGAGCGAACAGACGAGGAGCUUGCUCCUCUGACGUUAGCGGCGGACGGGUGAGUAACACGUGGAUAACCUACCUAUAAGACUGGGAUAACUUCGGGAAACCGGAGCUAAUACCGGAUAAUAUAUUGAACUGCAUGGUUCAAUAGUGAAAGACGGUUUUGCUGUCACUUAUAGAUGGAUCCGCGCCGCAUUAGCUAGUUGGUAAGGUAACGGCUUACCAAGGCAACGAUGCGUAGCCGACCUGAGAGGGUGAUCGGCCACACUGGAACUGAGACACGGUCCAGACUCCUACGGGAGGCAGCAGUAGGGAAUCUUCCGCAAAGGGCGAAAGCCUGACGGAGCAACGCCGCGUGAGUGAUGAAGGUCUUCGGAUCGUAAAACUCUGUUAUUAGGGAAGAACAAAUGUGUAAGUAACUAUGCACGUCUUGACGGUACCUAAUCAGAAAGCCACGGCUAACUACGUG
This 497-nucleotide ribosomal RNA is filed under the name uncultured bacterium. Its description in RNAcentral is "partial 16S ribosomal RNA". It matches the Rfam family "Bacterial small subunit ribosomal RNA", at positions 28 to 507 of the family's 1533-position model. The record is from RNAcentral.